RNAcentral lists this ribosomal RNA (492 nucleotides) under uncultured bacterium. Its description in RNAcentral is "partial 16S ribosomal RNA". It matches the Rfam family "Bacterial small subunit ribosomal RNA", at positions 29 to 507 of the family's 1533-position model. The record is from RNAcentral.
AGUGAACGCUGGCGGUAGGCCUAACACAUGCAAGUCGAACGGCAGCACAGUAAGAGCUCGCUCUUACGGGUGGCGAGUGGCGGACGGGUGAGGAAUACAUCGGAAUCUACUUUUUCGUGGGGGAUAACGUAGGGAAACUUACGCUAAUACCGCAUACGACCUACGGGUGAAAGCAGGGGAUCUUCGGACCUUGCGCGAUUGAAUGAGCCGAUGUCGGAUUAGCUAGUUGGCGGGGUAAAGGCCCACCAAGGCGACGAUCCGUAGCUGGUCUGAGAGGAUGAUCAGCCACACUGGAACUGAGACACGGUCCAGACUCCUACGGGAGGCAGCAGUGGGGAAUAUUGGACAAUGGGCGCAAGCCUGAUCCAGCCAUACCGCGUGGGUGAAGAAGGCCUUCGGGUUGUAAAGCCCUUUUGUUGGGAAAGAAAAGCAGCAGGUUAAUACCCCGCUGUUCCGACGGUACCCAAAGAAUAAGCACCGGCUAACUUCGUG